RNAcentral lists this ribosomal RNA (253 nucleotides) under uncultured bacterium. RNAcentral describes it as "partial 16S ribosomal RNA". It matches the Rfam family "Bacterial small subunit ribosomal RNA", at positions 524 to 776 of the family's 1533-position model. The record is from RNAcentral.
CACGGAGGCCCCGAGCGUUGUUCGGAUUUACUGGGCGUAAAGCGUGCGUAGGCGGUUAGGUAAGUCAGGUGUGAAAGCCUGGGGCUCAACCCCAGAACUGCAUCCGAUACUGCCUGACUAGAGGGCUGGAGAGGAGACUGGAAUUCACGGUGUAGCAGUGAAAUGCGUGGAUAACGUGAGGAAGACCAAUGGCGAAGGCAGGUCUCUGGACAGCAUCUGACGCUGAUGCACGAAGGCCGGGGGAGCAAAAAGG